CAGAAUUUUCCAUUGAGCGUGCUGUGUGCAAAUUUGCAAAACCAACUCCUACGUGCGGCAAAUAUGGAAAGUGAGUCGAGGAGAGAGGUGCAAAGGAAGCACAAGAAGUGAAGUGAGAAGAGAAGAAAAAAAGAAAGGAAAACCAUGUCCCACUUAGGAAGACACCUUAACAAGAAGUGAAAUGAGAAAUGAUGGACAAAAAAGAAGGAAAGUUAGAAACUCACAACUAUUCCAGCCAAAUCAAUCCAACAAUGAAACGCAUAUCACUAGACUCUUUAAUAAACCUCUAACACUCGUGUAGUAAUAGCUAACUUAAAACCAGUUAACAUUAAAACUUGUUCUAAAUAUCACACGACAAAUCUACAAGUAUGAUUUCUAUUAGCUGCCACGUCGAGGUGAGCAAUGCCAUGUGUCAGUCAUUUAGACUAUCUCAUGUUGGCAUUAAUAAAAAAAAUGUAAGGCUGUACAUUAAGACGAUUAACAGAUGGACCCACUCAAAACAAACCUCGCCCGACAUGCGCUGUUUGGCAAGAACGAUGGUGAGAGCUAGCGCGAAAUUGCUCAAGCACACACUCACACUAUAAACUAUGUGUGGGAUUGUACAUUUUUAUAAGGUUUUAUUUUUUGUAUUCUACUAAAAAAAUUCAAACAUCUUUAAAAAUAUAUAUAUUCUGAAAAAUGUUUGACCAACAAGUGUGAGAAAAGAGGGGGAAAAAAGGAAACCCAUGUCCCACUUAGUAAGACACCUUAACAAGAAGUAAAAUGAGAAAAGAAGGACAACAAAAAAGGAAAUUCAGAAACCAACAACUAUUCCAGCCAAAUCAAUCUACAUGA
Molecule: long non-coding RNA, 834 nt
Filed under: Brachypodium distachyon (stiff brome)
Lineage: Eukaryota; Viridiplantae; Streptophyta; Magnoliopsida; Poales; Poaceae
Description: long non-coding RNA (BDIS_LNC000169)
Source: RNAcentral